GCACCUCCUGCAUUAAGAACCGCACUAUCUAUACUCGUUGUCACUUUGGAUGAAGCGCAUCCGAUAACAUCGUCUAUCAGUGCUUCUCUCCUCUUCGUACUAGACACUGCACCUACAAAACCCAAUUAGCUCAGAAGAUACUAUUUUGUAAAGAUCAACUUUGUAAACAAAAUAGUUCAGGUUUUGCAUACCUGAACCCUUGGCCUCAGCCUGGUGAUUAGAAGGUUCAUUGAGCGUGUUACUGGCUGUUCCAGAGCCGCCAUUUUCUGAUGAUUUUGCAUCGUUGCUGGGAGAUGAAAACAGGAUGUCUCGAAGUGCAGGAUCAGCAAAACAGCUGAGACCAGUAUCAUCAAACUUUUGACACCUGGCAAGUGUCCGCCGGGUGAACGCCAGCGCCGCUUGUCUUGUCACCUUGUGGACUUUAUAUGCUUUAUUUCCACGGGAUGCCUGUUUUCAGAGUAACAUCCAUAACCUCAUAUAUAUCUUAUCCCACAACCAUUGACCCAAGUAGAUUAUGAUAAAAUGUAAGCAUCAACUAGUUUAUUACCAUUCUUUUCUUGUGUGCUGUUUCCACAAGGUGGUCCAUAGCAAGAUGCUCAAUUUUCCUGCAUGUAAACAUGAAAUCUUAGCAAAUAUAACAGUUUAACUUGAAAAA
This is a long non-coding RNA of Brassica napus (rape), 655 nucleotides long. RefSeq lists it as uncharacterized. The record is from RefSeq and is a predicted model, not a curated record. The transcript has 2 exons. Lineage: Eukaryota; Viridiplantae; Streptophyta; Magnoliopsida; Brassicales; Brassicaceae.